GUCGGAGUGGCGGAAUUGGCAUACGCGCUAGCCUUAGGAGCUAGUGGGAUUUAUCCCUUGGGAGUUCGAGUCUCCCCUCCGACA
RNAcentral lists this transfer RNA (84 nucleotides) under Candidatus Portnoyibacteriota bacterium. RNAcentral describes it as "Candidatus Portnoybacteria bacterium tRNA-Leu". It matches the Rfam family "tRNA". Rfam says of the family: Transfer RNA (tRNA) molecules are approximately 80 nucleotides in length. Their secondary structure includes four short double-helical elements and three loops (D, anti-codon, and T loops). The record is from RNAcentral. Lineage: Bacteria; Candidatus Portnoyibacteriota.